Molecule: ribosomal RNA, 579 nt
Filed under: Scatophagus argus
Lineage: Eukaryota; Metazoa; Chordata; Actinopteri; Scatophagidae
Description: partial large subunit ribosomal RNA
Rfam family: Bacterial large subunit ribosomal RNA
Source: RNAcentral
AACAUAUACGUGAUCUGAUUUCAAACGGGAACCCCUGUUUAUCAAAAAAUAAAUUUUUUUUUAUUAAAAAGGGGGGCCCGGGUGGAAAAACAAGGGCUCAACUGUCUCCUCUCUCAGGGCAAUGAGUUGAUCUCCCCGUGCAGAAGCGGGGAUGAACCCAUAAGACGAGAAGACCCUAUGGAGCUUUAGAUGCAGGGACAGAUCAUGUUAAACACCUCCUGAUAAAGAACUAAACCUAACGAACCCUGUCCCAGUAUCUUUGGUUGGGGCGACCGCGAGGAAAAACAAAACCCCCGCAUGGAUUGAGGACACCCCACUUUUCCCUCUCCUCACAGCUAAGAGUUUCCACUCUAAGAAACAGAAUUUCUGACCUACAAAGAUCCGGCAAUGCCGAUCAACGGACCCAGUUACCCUAGGGAUAACAGCGCAAUCCCCUUCUAGAGCCCAUAUCGACAAGGGGGUUUACGACCUCGAUGUUGGAUCAGGACAUCCUAAUGGUGCAGCCGCUAUUAAGGGUUCGUUUGUUCAACGAUUAAAGUCCUACGUGAUCUGAGUUUCAGACCGGAGACCGGAUGAUCU